This 466-nucleotide ribosomal RNA is filed under the name uncultured bacterium. Its description in RNAcentral is "partial 16S ribosomal RNA". It matches the Rfam family "Bacterial small subunit ribosomal RNA", at positions 28 to 505 of the family's 1533-position model. The record is from RNAcentral.
GACGAACGCUGGCGGCGUGCUUAACACAUGCAAGUCGAACGGAAAGGCCCUGCUUUUGUGGGGUGCUCGAGUGGCGAACGGGUGAGUAACACGUGAGUAACCUGCCCUUGACUUUGGGAUAACUUCAGGAAACUGGGGCUAAUACCGGAUAGGAGCUCCUGCUGCAUGGUGGGGGUUGGAAAGUUUCGGCGGUUGGGGAUGGACUCGCGGCUUAUCAGCUUGUUGGUGGGGUAGUGGCUUACCAAGGCUUUGACGGGUAGCCGGCCUGAGAGGGUGACCGGCCAAAUGGGGACGGAGAAACGCCCCAGACUCCUAGGGGGGGAAGGGGGGGGAAAUAUUGCAAAAGGGGGGGAAGCCUGAGGCAGAACCGCCGGGGGGGGGAUGACGGCCUUGGGUUUGAAAACCGUUUUCGCCUGUGACGAAGGGUGGGUGACGGUAAGGGGAAAAGAAGCCCCGGCAACCUACG